This 253-nucleotide ribosomal RNA is filed under the name uncultured bacterium. RNAcentral's name for it is "partial 16S ribosomal RNA". It matches the Rfam family "Bacterial small subunit ribosomal RNA", at positions 524 to 776 of the family's 1533-position model. The record is from RNAcentral.
UACAGAGGUCUCAAGCGUUGUUCGGAUUCAUUGGGCGUAAAGGGCGUGUAGGCGGGUAUGUAAGUCGGGCGUGAAAUCCCUGGGCUCAACCCAGGAACUGCACUCGAAACUGCGUAUCUUGAGUGCCGGAGAGGAAAGCGGAAUACCUGGUGUAGAGGUGAAAUUCGUAGAUAUCAGGUGGAACACCAGUGGCGAAGGCGGGUCUCUGGACAGUUCCUGACGCUGAGGCACGAAGGUCAGGGGAGCAAACGGG